AAACCAACUGGGAUUACCUUAGUAACGGCGAGUGAAGCGGUAAAAGCUCAAAUUUGAAAUCUGGUACUUUCAGUGCCCGAGUUGUAAUUUGUAGAAUUUGUCUUUGAUUAGGUCCUUGUCUAUGUUCCUUGGAACAGGACGUCAUAGAGGGUGAGAAUCCCGUUUGGCGAGGAUACCUUUUCUCUGUAAGACUUUUUCGAAGAGUCGAGUUGUUUGAGAAUGCAGCUCAAAGUGGGUGGUAAAUUCCAUCUAAAGCUAAAUAUUGGCGAGAGACCGAUAGCGAACAAGUACAGUGAUGGAAAGAUGAAAAGAACUUUGAAAAGAGAGUGAAAAAGUACGUGAAAUUGUUGAAAGGGAAGGGCAUUUGAUCAGACAUGGUGUUUUUUAAAUGUGCAAGUCUCUCGUGGACAUGUGCCUCUGGGAAAUUAACACUGGGCCAACAUCAGUUCUGGCGGCAGGAUAAAUCAUUAAGAAUGUAGCUACCUCGGUAGUGUUAUAGCUUUUUGGAAUACUGCC
This 516-nucleotide ribosomal RNA is filed under the name uncultured Hanseniaspora. Its description in RNAcentral is "eukaryotic LSU rRNA". It matches the Rfam family "Eukaryotic large subunit ribosomal RNA", at positions 62 to 575 of the family's 3401-position model. Lineage: Eukaryota; Fungi; Ascomycota; Saccharomycetes; Saccharomycodales; Saccharomycodaceae. The record is from RNAcentral.